This 73-nucleotide non-coding RNA is filed under the name uncultured Vannella. Lineage: Eukaryota; Discosea; Flabellinia; Vannellidae. The record is from RNAcentral.
CACCGGGGGUACGCAGGCCCGGAAGGCAGCAGGCUUAGAUCAUCUCGGCAUCGUUGGCCCAGGGGUUCGCGAU